RNAcentral lists this ribosomal RNA (1036 nucleotides) under uncultured bacterium. Its description in RNAcentral is "bacterial SSU rRNA". It matches the Rfam family "Bacterial small subunit ribosomal RNA", at positions 30 to 1082 of the family's 1533-position model. The record is from RNAcentral.
UGGCCUUUUUCCAAUGCCUUAAACAUGCAGUCGAUUCAAGUUACCUUCGGGUAAUGAGGAUGGCGGACGGGUGAGUAACGCGUAAGGAACUUGCCUCUUGGACUGGGACAACUGUUGGAAACGACAGCUAAUACCGGAUAUUAUGAGAUUCUCGCAUGAGAAACUUAUGAAAGCUAUAUGCGCCAAGAGAGAGCCUUGCGUUCCAUUAGCUAGUUGGUGGGGUAACGGCCCACCAAGGCGACGAUGGAUAGCCGGCCUGAGAGGGUGAACGGCCACAAGGGGACUGAGACACGGCCCUUACUCCUACGGGAGGCAGCAGUGGGGAAUAUUGGACAAUGGACCAAAAGUCUGAUCCAGCAAUUCUGUGUGCACGAUGAAGGUCUUCGGAUUGUAAAGUGCUUUCAGUUGGGAAGAAGCAAGUGACGGUACCAACAGAAGAAGCGACGGCUAAAUACGUGCCAGCAGCCGCGGUAAUACGUAUGUCGCAAGCGUUAUCCGGAUUUAUUGGGCGUAAAGCGCGUCUAGGCGGAAAAAUAAGUCCGAUGUUAAAAUGCGGGGCUCAACUCCGUAUUGCGUUGGAAACUGUUUUUCUAGAGUACUGGAGAGGUGGGCGGAACUACAAGUGUAGAGGUGAAAUUCGUAGAUAUUUGUAGGAAUGCCGAUGGAGAAGUCAGCUCACUGGACAGAUACUGACGCUGAAGCGCGAAAGCGUGGGGAGCAAACAGGAUUAGAUACCCUGGUAGUCCACGCCGUAAACGAUGAUCACUAGGUGUUGGGGGUCGAACCUCAGCGCCCAAGCUAACGCGAUAAGUGAUCCGCCUGGGGAGUACGCACGCAAGGUGUGAAACUCAAAGGAAUUGACGGGGACCCGCACAAGCGGUGGAGCAUGUGGUUUAAUUCGGACGCAACGGCGAAGAAACCUUACCAGCGUUUGACAUCCUAAGAAGGUUUCCAGAGAUGGAAUUCGUGCCGGCUUGCCGGAACCUUAGUGAACAGGUGGGUGCAUGGCCUGUUCGUCACCUCCAUGGUCCGUGAA